This 809-nucleotide ribosomal RNA is filed under the name uncultured bacterium. RNAcentral describes it as "bacterial SSU rRNA". It matches the Rfam family "Bacterial small subunit ribosomal RNA", at positions 8 to 806 of the family's 1533-position model. The record is from RNAcentral.
AGAGUUUGAUCCUGGCUCAGAUUGAACGCUAGCGGGAUGCUUUACACAUGCAAGUCGAACGGCAGCACGAGAGAGCUUGCUCUCUUGGUGGCGAGUGGCGGACGGGUGAGUAAUAUAUCGGAACGUGCCCAGUAGCGGGGGAUAACUACUCGAAAGAGUGGCUAAUACCGCAUACGCCCUACGGGGGAAAGGGGGGGAUCGCAAGACCUCUCACUAUUGGAGCGGCCGAUAUCGGAUUAGCUAGUUGGUGGGGUAAAGGCUCACCAAGGCAACGAUCCGUAGCUGGUUUGAGAGGACGACCAGCCACACUGGGACUGAGACACGGCCCAGACUCCUACGGGAGGCAGCAGUGGGGAAUUUUGGACAAUGGGGGAAACCCUGAUCCAGCCAUCCCGCGUGUAUGAUGAAGGCCUUCGGGUUGUAAAGUACUUUUGGCAGAGAAGAAAAGGCAUCCCCUAAUACGGGAUGCUGCUGACGGUAUCUGCAGAAUAAGCACCGGCUAACUACGUGCCAGCAGCCGCGGUAAUACGUAGGGUGCAAGCGUUAAUCGGAAUUACUGGGCGUAAAGCGUGUGUAGGCGGUUCGGAAAGAAAGAUGUGAAAUCCCAGGGCUCAACCUUGGAACUGCAUUUUUAACUGCCGAGCUAGAGUAUGUCAGAGGGGGGUAGAAUUCCACGUGUAGCAGUGAAAUGCGUAGAUAUGUGGAGGAAUACCGAUGGCGAAGGCAGCCCCCUGGGAUAAUACUGACGCUCAGACACGAAAGCGUGGGGAGCAAAAAGGAUUAGAUACCCUGGUAGUCCACGCCCUAAA